Molecule: transfer RNA, 88 nt
Filed under: Aeromonas veronii
Lineage: Bacteria; Pseudomonadati; Pseudomonadota; Gammaproteobacteria; Aeromonadales; Aeromonadaceae
Also listed under: 1 other name
Description: tRNA-Ser
Rfam family: tRNA
About the family: Transfer RNA (tRNA) molecules are approximately 80 nucleotides in length.
Source: RNAcentral
GGUGAGGUGCCCGAGUGGCUGAAGGAGCACGCCUGGAAAGUGUGUAUACGGCAACGUAUCGAGGGUUCGAAUCCCUCCCUCACCGCCA